Non-coding RNA from Dermatophagoides farinae (American house dust mite), 1425 nucleotides. NCBI's taxonomy places the organism in Eukaryota, Metazoa, Arthropoda, Arachnida, Sarcoptiformes, Pyroglyphidae. The record is from RefSeq and is a predicted model, not a curated record.
GACAAAAAAAAAACUAGGCGUCAUAUUUGUGAAUUUUCAUUUGGAAAGGGGCGCCACCAUCUUUCAUUGGUGAAAAAAUUUUGAUUUUUUUCUCUUAAGAAGACUUCAUGCUCAUCAUCAUCAUCAUCAAUCGUAUACAACUAAUGAAAUUGAAAUGAACAAACCAAUUGUAUGAGCUGCAGCACAGCUCGAACUUUUUACAUAUCACUAUGGGCUAUCCAAAAAAAAAAAAACUAUACAGCCAACAACAACACUACCAGAUCAAUGAAAAUGCUGUUUGUAUGUGUGAGUAUUGUGUUGUACAGGAACAAUAAUUCCUGGUUGUAAAUUUGAGUGGAUUCAAGUGUGGUUUUUGUGUGUGUGUAUGGCUGAUUAUUGUAUUGUCGUUGUGUCAUCAAAAUUUUUGUUUCAUCUGGCCAAAUAUAUCAAAAUAAAAAAAAAUUGAGCCUUUGGGCCCAGUAUUUGUUACGUUGACUUUUUAUUUAGAAAAAAAUUAAACAACCACAUUCACUUAUUGAUAAUUGAAUGUUUUAUUCAAGAUCAUCAUUAUCAUCAUCAUUGAAGCGACUAAAUUUUCCUAUUUUGUUUACUCGGGCUCGACUAUAUUUUUUGUGUGUGUGUGUGUUCCAUAUAAAUGGAUCUUUGUGUGUGUGUAAUUGUGUUUGAGGGAUUGUAUCAAGCCUCAUUUUAAUUAUUAAUCCCAACGAUCAAAUCACCACUUUACGACAAUUUUGUGUGUGUGUGUACGUGUGUGCUUUAGUUAAUUUGUUGUUGGGUUGGUUUGUGUGACUUGAAGAAUCAAUUUUGUUUUCUUUUUGUCGGAAUUUCAAUAGUCAAAUCGUCAAAUCAUCCACACUAAAACACAAAUAAUUAUACACCGAUUAAACAUCAAUUAUUGUUUAUUGUGCCCUUUCCCUCUAAUUCUUGGCCAAAAAAAAAAUACGAAUAUUUAGUCAAAUAACACAACAUUCAUAAAUUACAAGUCGUCAACCAAUCAAACAUAUUAAUGUCUAAUCGAUAAUCAAAUCCGAAAUAAGAAUUUUUCAAACUAUAGUAGAAUAAAUUGCCAAAGAUAGACACAACUUUCGAAUUUUUAUUGUCUACGUUUUUAACUGGUCUAGUUUAUUUCUUUCUUUUUAUUGAAUGAUUUUUUGUUUGUUUGUCCUGGUCUUUUUCAGAAAAAUAAAUCAAGUCUUCCCCUUUUCACAAUCAUGAAUAACCUAAUAUCGUCGAAUCAAUCAAUCGUUCUAAGUCAAAAUCGAACCUACGAAUCAUAAAUAUAGAUGCUCUGAUUUUAUUUACCAUCAUCCAUUUAUUUCCACAUUGAAUACAUUCAUCAUAAUCUCAUCGACUUUUUAUAACCGAAUAUUACGACGAUAAUCUAAUCCACAAAUAAAAAAAAAUACCUAGAAUAUUCUCUUUCUU